CCUACGGGAGGCAGCAGUGGGGAAUAUUGGACAAUGGGGGGAACCCUGAUCCAGCGACGCCGCGUGAGUGAAGAAGUAUUUCGGUAUGUAAAGCUCUAUCAGCUGGGACGAAAGAAAUGACGGUACCUGACUAAGAAGCCCCGGCUAACUACGUGCCAGCAGCCGCGGUAAUACGUAGGGGGCAAGCGUUAUCCGGAUUUACUGGGUGUAAAGGGAGCGUAGACGGCGAUGCAAGUCUGAAGUGAAAGGCGGGGGCCCAACCCCCGGACUGCUUGGGAAACUGUAUGGCUGGAGUGCAGGAGAGGUAAGUGGAAUUCCUAGUGUAGCGGUGAAGUGCGUAGAGAUUAGGAGGAACACCAGUGGCGAAGGCGGCUUACUGGACUGUAACUGACGUUGAGGCUCGAAAGCGUGGGGAGCAAACAGGAUUAGAUACCCUUGUAGUC
This 443-nucleotide ribosomal RNA is filed under the name uncultured bacterium. Its description in RNAcentral is "partial 16S ribosomal RNA". It matches the Rfam family "Bacterial small subunit ribosomal RNA", at positions 338 to 795 of the family's 1533-position model. The record is from RNAcentral.